This 301-nucleotide ribosomal RNA is filed under the name uncultured bacterium. Its description in RNAcentral is "partial 16S ribosomal RNA". It matches the Rfam family "Bacterial small subunit ribosomal RNA", at positions 509 to 807 of the family's 1533-position model. The record is from RNAcentral.
CAGUCGCCGCGGUAAUACGAGGGGGGCAAGCGUUGUUCGGAAUUAUUGGGCGUAAAGGGUGCGUAGGCGGUUUGGCAAGUCUUAUGUGAAAUCUCUGGGCUCAACCCAGAGUCUGCAUGAGAAACUGCCGGGCUUGAGUAUGGGAGAGGUAAGUGGAAUUCCGAGUGUAGAGGUGAAAUUCGUAGAUAUUCGGAAGAACACCAGUGGCGAAGGCGGCUUACUGGCUCAUUCUAGACGCUGAGGUGCGAAAGCGUGGGGAGCAAACAGGAUUAGAGACCCCAGUAGUCCCUGUCUCUUAUAC